GCCUCGUUAGUAUAGUGGUUAGUACGCGGGAUUCAUAUAGUACUAAAUAGACCCCGAGAGGGCAGUUCGAUCCUGCCACGAGGCA
Non-coding RNA from Meira miltonrushii, 85 nucleotides. Lineage: Eukaryota; Fungi; Basidiomycota; Exobasidiomycetes; Exobasidiales; Brachybasidiaceae. The record is from the annotation of a RefSeq genome assembly.